RNAcentral lists this long non-coding RNA (286 nucleotides) under Elaeis guineensis (African oil palm). Its description in RNAcentral is "long non-coding RNA (EGUI_LNC042252)". The record is from RNAcentral. Lineage: Eukaryota; Viridiplantae; Streptophyta; Magnoliopsida; Arecales; Arecaceae.
UCUAAAUAGGCAUUAGAGAUGCCACACGCCUGAUGUUUAUUGGGUAUUAAAAUUAUCAUUCAUCAUAUGACCAUCUUGCUAUCUUCUUCAGAUCAAUGGUCAGGUUGGCUAAGCCACACUUGAACCUAGGCAUUUGUUUGCUUGAUGCACUUAAUAUAAUCAUAUUAAUGGUUGGACCUAACCAAAUUUUUUAGUAGAGGCAUCACACGCUUGCUGAAGAGAUACCUAGGAUAAAAUCUGGUUGCUAAAAAUUAUUUGAAGAAAUAAUUGAUUAGGAACCUACCCA